AUAGUAAGAGUUGAAAAUAACAACUCAGGUC
Molecule: ribosomal RNA, 31 nt
Filed under: Streptococcus pneumoniae GA08780
Lineage: Bacteria; Bacillati; Bacillota; Bacilli; Lactobacillales; Streptococcaceae
Source: RNAcentral